GAGAACGUUGCUUAAUGAUUUUCUUAUUGAUUCAUCUGUUUUCGCAUAUUUGAAUCCAUAUCAAUUUUCGAAUGGUAACAGCAUGCAUAUUUGUUAAACUGAAAACAUUAUAUGUUUAAUGUGAAACAUAUAAUGUGAGGAAGAGAGAUGAGACACCCACUAGUUCUGUUGAAACAAAUGCUUUGAAUGCAAUGCAGUUUAAAUACAAAUUAAAUGCAAACUUUUGUGAUGCAGAUUAACCUUCAUUUUAAUUCUCAUUCAAAUUUUAGUUACAGUACAUUAAUAAUGCAUAUUAGACUGCACAAAUAUUAAUGCAGUCUAUUUUGUUAGAACCGAAGGAGAUAAAUAAUCUGAGGAAGAGUACUGAUUAAAUUAGCAACUAAACUUUAAUAAAACUUUGUUAUAACUGCAGAAGAAACACUAUAUGUUUAAGGUGAGCAAAUCUGGUUCCAUCAAUAAAAAA
RNAcentral lists this long non-coding RNA (463 nucleotides) under Brassica napus (rape). RNAcentral's name for it is "long non-coding RNA (BNAP_LNC019442)". Lineage: Eukaryota; Viridiplantae; Streptophyta; Magnoliopsida; Brassicales; Brassicaceae. The record is from RNAcentral.